GUCUCGCGCGCGCAGGAAGCGGAGGUGGAAGUUGGGGCGCAGGAAUGUGGCUGUCCCCGCCUGUAAAUCAUGGUUGGGGAGGAGUCGCGGAGGCACCAGGCUGGGGUCUGCAGCGCGCCAUCUGCUGCAGCACACAGGAGGCGCUGAGGCUAGUUGGGUUCAAGCGAUUCUCAUGCCUCAGCCACUUGAGUAGCUGGGACUACAGGAUUUCGCCAUGUUCCCCAGGCUGGUCUCAAACUCCUGAACUCAGGCAGCCCGCCUACCUUGGCCUCCCAAAGUGCUAGGAUUACAGGUAUGAACCACCGCGCCCGGCCAGUUUCUUAAUUCUUAGACUAAAUCUACGGGGGACACACUUUUGCCAACAUUAGCUGCAAAGGGUUUUUUCCUCCACACUUAAGUCACGGUCAGUAAGUAGUUUUUUUUUUUUUCCUGUGUUUUUGUUUCCUUGUUUGUUUUUAUUUGGGAAAAUGCCUCUUUUGAUAGUAAUGAAUUAUUUUUUACACGCAAGGUCAAAAACAGCAUGGAGUGAAUUUU
RNAcentral lists this long non-coding RNA (534 nucleotides) under Homo sapiens (human). RNAcentral describes it as "FAM111A divergent transcript". The record is from RNAcentral. Lineage: Eukaryota; Metazoa; Chordata; Mammalia; Primates; Hominidae.